Molecule: RNA transcript, 7955 nt
Organism: Macrosteles quadrilineatus (aster leafhopper)
Lineage: Eukaryota; Metazoa; Arthropoda; Insecta; Hemiptera; Cicadellidae
Exons: 5
Source: RefSeq, a predicted model, not a curated record
GGCUGUGGUGGUGAGGUGUGAGUGUGACAUCAAUUUUUGGUGUGAUGUCGACUCGUUUCCGUUUGUAAUUUGUAUGUAUAAUCAAAUUACAUUAGAAUUGGGGUACUACACUAACCUACGUGUCCAAUCACAGUUUCUCUGCGUCAAUAAGUAUCUUUUCCUUUGAUACAAAUUUGUUAAUGCCUAACUAGCAGUAUCGAAGAUGUAACUUGGGAAGCUAUCCUACUAGACCUACAGUAUGGAAUGUGGAGCCAUGUAACCAGUGGACCUAGGCCUAACUUAUUUAACUUACGUUUUAUGACCAGUGCUACAAAAAAUAUAAAAGGAAAAUAUUAGAAACAACAUCAUGGCUAGUGGAAAAACGUGGGCCAACAUUUGCACAGUAUGUGGAAGACAUGUAGAAAUUCUCAACGGCGAUUUUGCAUUUUCCAUGGAACUGCACAACCAAUCACAUAAAUCACUAGAUUAUGUCAACAACUCUUUGGACGGAAACCUUAACCGCUCAAUUGAAAAGAUAGAUAAUGCUUCAAAACUGAAUUUGAACUACUGUCACGAUUGUAAUGAAAGUUUUGAAAUUAUCAAUAACAACUUCAGUUUAUCUUUUCAACGACAUGCUGAGAAACACAAAGGAGAUAAUACAGAUGCUUUGUCAGAUCAUUCAUCUACCUCUAGUAAAAAAACUAAGGGAUCUCAAGAAGUGACAAAAGAGAAACAACAACCUCAGCCUGUGGUAACAAGUAUGUUAGACGCCAUCUUCCAUACAAUGCCUGAAGGUUUGAAGGCCCAUCGCAGUUUCAUUUCUGAAAAAGGUUGCAGUAAAGCUGUUUGCAACCUUUGUGAAAUAAUAAUUGAUCCCAUUUUUAGCAUGAGUGAACAUUUGAAAACAAAGCAACAUGAAGACAACACGAUCUCAGUAAUCAAAAGAAUAUUUAGUUCAGAGCUACACGAACAAAUGGAGUUUAUAUCUUUUUAUGGCUCAAAUCUUUGUUGUAAUUUAUGCCGCUGUAAAAUCGAUCUCUGCUCUGAUAACCUACAUAAGACUGCAAUGAGUAUAGUCAUUCACAAUGCAGGGAAAGGUCACUCAUGUCAAAGAACUAAUGAUGGCAAUAGUACUGAUAAAACUUUACUUAUCAUAAAAAGUCUUGCUCUCAUGAACCCUAUAAUUAAUGAAAACCAACAUUUUAUUGAACACAGCAUGCAUCCCUACUUCAAGUGUAAACCAUGCGAAAAGCAACUUGCAUAUUGUGAGAAUGAUAAGGAGAUGGCAUCAAAUUUUAUUGCUCACUUUAAUUCUUCAGCUCACACCAAACAUCUGAGCGCUGUUUUGCUUUUGUCGAAAUGGAGUGGUUUGAACAUCCCUGGUAAAGAAAAUCACAAUUUUGCCGUAAAGAAACAAAAUAUUUACUGUUCAAGCUGCAAUUGUAAUAUUGAAGCAAACCUUGAUCAACUUCUGUCUCAUGUCAGAAUGAAUUUUGUCAUGCAAGAACCAGCGCAGUCUAAUGCUGCUCAAAAGACUAUGAAUACACCUCAUACUCAAACUGAUUCGUCACAAAGUAAAAUAAAUAUGAAAACUCAAUCAGAAGAGAUUAUAAACAAGCCAUCCUUGGCUCAACAAAAUCAAAUACCAAAAGUAUCAGCCACAGUUAAAAGGUUAGUGAUGAGUUUACCUGCUCAGUUUCAAAACAUGGUUACAAUGAAUAAGAAAGGAGAGGCUGUGUGUUCAAUCUGCAACUGCACAAUUCCACCAACAACUUACAAUAUGACAACCCAUUUUAAUGGAAAUAGUCACAAAAAGAAAGAAAAUGAAUCAAAAUCGUCUGCUAGUAGGCCUAACAGUAAUAUAGCUGAGAAACUCAAAGGACUUCGUGGUCAAGAAAAGGUAACAACUAAUCCAAACUCUGGCAUUGAGUUUUAUUCGCCAUCCAUUUAUCAUUCACGGUUAGCUGAAAAUAAGAAGUACUUUGUUAGGUAUAAUGGUGAAGACAAGUACAUCUGUGUUCUAUGUGGGACUAUUUUUCAAGAAGAUGGAAACCUGCAAAGAAACAUUCUGCUACAUAUUGACAAUCAAGAUCACUUGAACAAAAUCCAGCUUAAACAGGAAAUGUGUCAAUUGUUACCCAGGCAUAGCGACUGUUUGGUGAAGGAACUCUUUGAUGUAAUCCCCAUGACCUUUCAAAAAGAUUUGCAAUAUAUCAAGGCACCAGAGGGGAUGAAUUUUAUCUAUUGUGAAAUCUGCUACAUUAGGAUUUCAAGACACAAGAACUGUUUAAUCGAACAUCUUGAAGGUGGUUAUCAUAAAUCAUCAGUUGAGAGAUUUGGAAAGAUUCAACUAAAAAAUGUAGUGGGAAAACCUACUAUCGACCCAGAAGCUAUAUUUGAAGAUCUUAAGAAGAACCAUAAAGAAAUCAAGAAAAAUAGCAAGUACAUAUGCAAGACUAAUGAGGAUUAUUUUUGUCAACUAUGCAAAGCGGUAAUAAAAGCUUCGUUUGACAUUAAUCUCCUCGAAGUAAACUUUUUGAGCCAUUUUAAUGGUAAGAAACACCUGAAGAAUGUAGCCGGUGAGUUUAGUAUGAUGCUUGACAAAAUGCAGAUCGAUAGCGAAAUAGUGAGAAACAGUAGAAAAUUCUUGGAGAAAAGAAAUGAUACCGUUAUCUGUACAUUAUGCCCCUGUCAAAUAUCUAUGUCUAAUGCUGAUCGCCUUAGACACAACCUAGAAGUCCAUUUAUCAGGCUCUGCGCACAAAAAUAAGUUGGAAUCUAAAGCAAGUAUGCCAUCUGCGUCUUCCCAUCAGAAUGCCGCAGCCUUCGAUCAGCAAUUGAAGAAGUUGGAGGACGUUAUUGGAAUGCUCUGGAAAGAGGGGAAAUUCUGAAUCUCGUAUAAAAACUAAGUCAAACUCUUCUGGUUGUGUUAAUUGCCAGUUAUUUUACAUGUUGAUAAGGUCCUGUUCUGUGCAACAAACUAAGCUUAAUUAAAGUAUCACCAUGGCAAGUUGUUCAUCUUGGGUUAAUAGCUGUCCAGAGUGCGUGGUAUGGAAAAAAUUAUUCUACAUGAGUCGCCACGUCAUAAAUAUGGCAAGAAGAGAAAUGAAUAACAAAUAGUUAAAAGCUUGUGACAAACAGGCCAUUAAUUGAAGACCAUUGGAAUCUGGAAGAGAAAGAAGUUGCCAUGGCCAAGGCAAAUCUUACAAAAAUGAUUGCAGUCUGUCCAGAAUGUGAGGAACUAGUGCAGAUUCUCAAUAACAACUUUGAAUACUCUAUGAAACUUCACAAGAAAUCACAUCCAACUAUAAAAGUGGAGAUGCCUUUGAAAUUUGAAAAGAUUGGUAAUGACAGUUAUGAAAAAAUUGAUGUGGCAAGCAAUGAUGCAAUUUAUACCCUUCAGCCACUUGUUCAAAAGCAACAGUGUGAGGUAGAUAACAUAUCACACUCCCCUUUCUCAACUGUUGGUUAUUUGUGUGGAAAUCAACCUGGAACAAUUGUAAGAAAACCUUCAUUAAUCAAUUUACUAGAGGCUAUUCUUCCCUCAAUGCCUGAUUGUGUGAAAGUCCAUAUAAACUUUUUUUCUGAAACGGAGUACUCUAGGGCCAUAUGUAGUGUAUGCAAAAUUACAAUUGACCCGAUUUCUUACAUUCCACACCACAUAAAAACUAAGUUGCACGAAGAUAACAUCAUCAAUACACUCAAGACCCUGUUGCCCUUGAAGUCAAAGGAUCAGAUGAAAUUUGUCUCAUUUUAUAAUUCAAAUCUCUAUUGCAAUUUAUGUGAAUGUAAAAUAAUUCUUUGCUCAAGUGAUCUACACCAGUCUGUCAACAAUAUUUUCACUCAUAACGCUGAACAGAGCCACUCUAAUCAUGAGUCAGGUGGCCACAACCCGAGCCAAAGUUGUUGCGACCCAGCAACACAGGAUCAUGUGCACUUACUUGGUCCUAAUAUUUCAGAAGCGGUAAGGACGAAAAAAACAGCCUUUGAGAAUUUCUCAAAAACUAACAUGACCAUGAAGAGUAGGGCUGAGCUUUUAGAAAACUCUAAGAGUGAGUUAAAAAAUCUCUUCAGCCUUUACCCUUACAAAGAGGAUACAACGAAUAACACAAGGAAUACAAAACCCAUGGAAAAAUUACAAGAGGACAACAUGCAAAAUCACACGUUGAAGACCAAUGAAAAGGAUGAAAAAUUACCUACAGUAUUUGAUAACAUAACACCAUCAGUAAAGGAAGUAAAAAAUUUACCAAGCUCUGAAAACCAAGUUCAAACAAAGGAAGCUCCAGCAGAAGAAAAUAAUGUAAAUUCGGUUUAUAGAGAAUUAUUAAAAACCAAUGAACUAAUUAGAUCCAAUGAUAAAUUCAUAGAGCAAGAGAAAAAUGUCUUUGUUUGUAAGCCCUGUAAAGAUAUUUUAGUUGCAGAGGUAAAGAAUCUAGAAAGAAGACUCAUGGACCAUAUCUUGGGGCUUGAACACAACUUAAAUACCAAGCUCAUGGCCAAGGUAGAUAACUAUUAUAUUUGCAAAACAUGUUGCAAAGAAAACAGUAAUGAAAUGAUGACGUUUACAAAAUUAAAAUCAUUAAAAGAUCACAUCUCAAGUCAAGUACAUAUAAAAAAUAUGAUACUAUUCCUAUCAUUAGAUUCAGCUAUAAAAAGUUAUACUAGUUCUGUUUAUAGAAAUUUUUCAAAAACUAAUGCAGUGAUCGAACUCAAUUAUAAAUAUUUUGAGCAAGAGGAAAAUGCCUUUGUUUGUAAGCUCUGUGACAACACUCAUAUAGUGAUUGGUAAUGUACAGCAGGAACUAGAAGGAAGACUCAUGGACCAUAUCUUGGGACUUAAACACCACGUGAACACAAAGUUACUGGUCAAGGUAGAUAACUAUUAUAUUUGCUCAAUAUGUAGUGUAAACAAUACAAUACAAAUUUGUAAGAAGUUAACAACAUUGAACCAAAGAAUAAUGAAUCACACUUCAAGUCAGAAACACAUGCAAAACAUUGUAUUGUUAAACUCCUUACUUAAAUCUAAAAUAAAUAAUAUCAAUGCUGUUUAUAAAGAAUUGUUAAGAACCAAUGCAGUGAUCAGACUCAAUGAUAAAUACAUAGAGCAAGAGGAAAAUGUGUUUGUUUGUAAGCUCUGUAACAACACGCGUAUAUUGGUUGUGAAUGUACAGGAACUAGAACUAAGACUCAUGGACCAUAUGAUGGGACUCCAGCACAACUUGAAAACAAAGUUCCUGGCCAAGGAAGGUAAUUUUUAUAUUUGCAAAAUAUGUUUUGUAAAUAAUGAAAUACCAAAUUGCAAGUUAACAAAAUUGGAAAGAAUGAUUAUGGAUCACACUUCAAGUCAGGAACAUAUGCAAAACAUUGUCUUAAUGAAUUCGUUAGAUCCAGCUGCAAUUAAUGAUGUUUAUAGAGAAUUAUCAAGAACCAAUGCAGUGAUCAGACUCAAUGAUAAAUACAUAGAGCAAGAGGAAAAUGUGUUUGUUUGUAAGCUCUGUAACAACACGCGUAUAGUGAUUGAGAAUGUAAUAGAACUACAAAGAAUACUCAUGGACCAUGUGAUGGGUUUUGAACACAACUUGAACUCAAAGUUCCUGGUCAAGGUAGAUAACUAUUAUUUUUGCACCAUAUGUAGUGAAAACAAUACAAUAAAAAGUUCUAAGUUAAAAAAUUUGCAAAAUAGAAUAAUGAAUCACACUUCAAGUCAGAAACACAUGCAAAACUUUGUCUUGUUAAACUCAUUAGAUCCAGCUGAAAUAAGUGAUACCAAUGCUGUUUAUAAAGAAUUGCUAAGAACCAAUGAAGUGAUCAGACUCAAUGAUAAAUACAUAGAGCGAGAGGAAAAUGUCUUUGUUUGUAAGCUCUGUAACAACUUGCCUAUAGUGAUUGUGAAUGUAAAGGAACUUGAAAGAAGACUUAUGAAGCAUAUCUUAGGACUUAAACACAACUUGAAUACCAAGUUUCUGGCCAAGGAAGGUAAUUUUUAUAUUUGCAAAAUAUGUUUUGUAAAUAAUGAAAUACCAAAAUGUAAUUUACCAAAAUUGGAAAGAAAGAUGAUGGAUCAUACUUCAAGUCAGGAACAUAUGCAAAACAUAGUCUUAAUGAAUUCGUUAGAUCCAGCUGCAAUUAAUGAUGUUUAUAGAGAAUUAUCAAGAACCAAUGCAGUGAUCAGACUCAAUGAUAAAUACAUAGAGCAAGAAGAAAAUGUGUUUGUUUGUAAGCUCUGUAACAACAGGCGUAUAUUGGUUGUGAAUGUACAGGAACUAGAACUAAGACUCAUGAACCAUAUGAUGGGACUCCAGCACAACUUGGAAACAAAGUUCCUGGCCAAGGAAGGUAACUUUUAUAUUUGCAAAAUAUGUGUUGUAAACAAUAAAAUACCAAAUUAUAAGUUACCUAAAUUGGAAAGAAAGAUAAUUAAACAUACUUCAAGUCAGGAACAUAUGCAAAACAUUGUCUUAAUGAACUACAACCAAUCCAGAACUACAGAAGAUCCAGCUACAAUUAAUGAAGUUUAUAGAGAAUUAUUAAGAAGUAAUACAGUGAUUAGGCUCAAUGAAAAAUAUAUAGAGCAAGAAGGAAGUGUCUUUGUUUGUAAGCUUUGCAACAACACACAUAUAGUGGUUGAGAAUCUAAAAGAUCUCGAAGAAAGCAUCAUAGAUCAUAUCAUGACUCUUGAACACGAUGAAACACUAACAUUUCAAGAAGAGGAAGUAAUUGUUAGUUUCCUAGAGAAGACUGAGUUGUCUGAUACUGAAAUCAGGGAGAAUCUUAAUUUUUUAAGAACAGAAGAUGACAUCAUUAGGUGUACUCUGUGUGAUUUUACAAUUCCUUCAAAUGGAGAAAAUGAUGAGAUAAUUGAAAAUUUAGCUGUACAUUUGAGAGAAUCUGGUCAUAAUGCAAACAAAAAAGUAUCCAAUGAAUACAUUGGAGAUACACUUGGAAAUACACUUACUGACAAUAUCAGCCAUUGGUUCAAUAAACUUCCAACCAAGUACUUGGAGGACAUCGAAUACAUCACAUUUAGUCCGUUCAAGCGAUUUUUGUCCUGUAAACUUUGUAACUCCACGAUUCAUCCCCGUUACUUGAAAGAACAUCUGGAAGAGUUGGUUCACACUCAAGAAAAAGAACUAAAAAAGAAACCAAACCUCUUGAGUAAAUCUACUCAUAUCGUGACAGACCAAAAUGUGCUGAGACAUUUGGAUACUCUGUCUUCCUUGUUGAAAAAGAUACAACUGAAAUCUCCAUGGCAGAAAUAACCUCUUCAUUUGAUUCAUCCCUCACUAAGAACCAUUCUGUACAUCAAACUCUUCAUAAAGUUCCUACUGGAUUGUGUCCUGCAUUCAAAUUAAAUAACAUACCUAAAAAUGAAUGAACUUUUACAAUGAAUAGUUAUUCUACAUAAUAGUCUCACUUUUGUAGACUUGCUGUCAUAAACUGAUGUCUUUAGAGAAUUGUGUGAUUGUAAUCAAUGUGACUAAUCUUAAAUCUAUCAAUCAACAACUCCACAGUAAAAAAGCACAAAGCCAGCAAACCAAGGUCAAUUGUGCUGUAUUCAUAAUGUUUUUAUUGACAUUUGAAAUAGUCAUAAUGUUUAAAGUUAUACAAAUUCAAUCACAAAAUAUUCAAAACCUUUGAUUUGUUGUAUCUUCUUACGGAACAAAACUGAGAAAAAAAAAAUUCUGUAAUAAUUAUUUCAAAAAUUGUAAUAAGUUUUUGUAUCUGAACUAGCUACUAAUUUGUCAUCUUUUGAGGUAAGAGGAUGAUGUGUAUAGGGCCUGUUGUACAAAUUUAUUUCAAACAAUUAUCUUGUAAAUAAUUUAUUUUUUGAUCCUACAAAAAAUAAUUAUUGUUACAACAAUAAUAUUGUAAUCUUAUUUUUAUUUGAUUGCAAUCCUAUUGAAUACUUUCAUAAUUAACUAUAUUAAAAUAUCACAAUCUUCUCAAUGAAAAAAUUAAAAAAAAAACUUGUGUUCAA